This 82-nucleotide transfer RNA is filed under the name Candidatus Woesearchaeota archaeon. Its description in RNAcentral is "tRNA-Ser". It matches the Rfam family "tRNA". Rfam says of the family: Transfer RNA (tRNA) molecules are approximately 80 nucleotides in length. Their secondary structure includes four short double-helical elements and three loops (D, anti-codon, and T loops). Lineage: Archaea; Nanobdellati; Candidatus Woesearchaeota. The record is from RNAcentral.
GCCGACGUCGCCUAAUGGUCGGGCAGCAGUCUCGAAAACUGCCUUCCGCAAGGAUCUGUAGGUUCGAAUCCUACCGUCGGCG